GUGAGGAAUAUUGCGCAAUGGAGGCAACUCUGACGCAGCCAUGCCGCGUGCAGGAAGAAGGCGCUACGCGUUGUAAACUGCUUUUAACCGGGAAGAAACCCCAGGACGUGUCCUGGGUUGACGGUACCGGAGGAAUAAGCACCGGCUAACUUCGUGCCAGCAGCCGCGGUAAUACGAAGGGUGCAAGCGUUAUCCGGAUUCAUUGGGUUUAAAGGGUGCGUAGGCGGAGCGUUAAGUCAGUGGUGAAAUCCUGCAGCUUAACUGUAGACUUGCCAUUGAUACUGGCGCUCUUGAGUGCGCUUGAAGUGGGCGGAAUGUGCCGUGUAGCGGUGAAAUGCUUAGAUAUGGCACAGAACACCAAUUGCGAAGGCAGCUCACUAAGGCGAUACUGACGCUGAGGCACGAAAGCGUGGGGAUCGAACAGGAUUAGAAACACUUGUAGUCC
RNAcentral lists this ribosomal RNA (445 nucleotides) under uncultured bacterium. RNAcentral's name for it is "partial 16S ribosomal RNA". It matches the Rfam family "Bacterial small subunit ribosomal RNA", at positions 354 to 796 of the family's 1533-position model. The record is from RNAcentral.